This is a long non-coding RNA of Strigops habroptila (Kakapo), 1613 nucleotides long. RefSeq lists it as uncharacterized. Lineage: Eukaryota; Metazoa; Chordata; Aves; Psittaciformes; Psittacidae. The transcript is spliced from 2 exons. The record is from RefSeq and is a predicted model, not a curated record.
CCUUCUCUGCAGCUACUAAUGACUAAGGAGAUGCUCUCCAGCUUGUGAAAUUAUAGGGGUUCUGUCCCUGCUUAGGAAGUCUAACUGCACAGGCUCCUGCUCCUUCUUGUCAUAAAGCUGUUCUCCUCAGUUCAGUCAGCCCGAGUGUUUAAGGAGAGACUGUUCUAUCAUCCCAAAUCUCUCCCUGUGGAUAGGUGUAGUCCCCUGCAGCCUCACAGGGGUUUCUGGCUGUUCAUUCCCAGUACUACACUGGGAGCAGAGGACUAGACAGAGCAGACAACAGGCCAUAACAAUGGUGUGGUGGCUCUCAGGGUGAGCCCUGGGUUUACUUACCUGCAGAGGGUUGAUGUGUCCCCUGUUGUUGGCAGUUCCCAAGAGCAGCUUUAAGAUGUUUGUCUUUUGGACUGGACUCAAAACUUCCCUCAGGUUUUAGUGGCUUAUUCAUGGAGGGGCAAAACGGACCCUGGGAAUGUGUGUGCCCUUCCUGGAGCUCACAGGGGUGACUGCUGGGGUUGGGAAGAGUGGUGGAGAAUGUGUCAAACCAGUGUGGAUCCCUAAGCUUAGUGCUUUUAAUACUCCGUAGCUUCUACUGUGUGUGGUGUUGAAAUGAGAAGGCACCAAGUUUUGGUUUGCUGUAACUUCGUUAUCUCCAGCAAACUAAGCUGGGUACUUGCUAUCUUGCUACAGUGGAAUCACACAUCGUUUUAUUUACAAACAUUUUCCAACUUUACAAAAACCAUAACAGUAUGUUUAAGUUUUAGAAGCAAACAUUGGGAACAUGGUGUUUCUAAGCAGCGGUUAGCUUAAAAGUGCACUUCAGAUAGGAGGAAUUGUUUAAACUUGUCCUUAGCUCAGAUUCUAAGAUUUCUCCAAGGUAAAUUGCUCCAUAUUAGAUAACUCCCUCAACAGUUUUGGUUCCUGCUGAAAUUUCACACCACUGAACAGUCUCUCUCCUACUUUCUCACUGGAGUGUAGCAGGUACAUGUGAAUCUUUGCUUCGAGAGCUGAAUCACAGUCUGUCAUCGCAGUGAUGUGAGAAAUGGAAAUGUGUUUCAGAUACAAAAACCAAAUAAACAUGAGAACAGAGCAGGUGUGUUGUUGCUCUUCUAGCUGUGUACAGUGUGGAGAUAGCAAGGCAGUAGGCACCUCCCCAUAGAUAGGCACGUACUCGCAGAUAAAUGUGCAACCACCCUGAAGCCGUAAAAGGCAAUGUUAGUGUAACUGGUCCUCCAACAUCAGGAAACCUGCAUGCAAGUUGUGAUAGUGUUAUUGACCCCAGAGGCACUUGUGUUCAGUGGUUUUCCCCUCUUGUGCUUCAGGGCUGUGUACAAACAGUCAGACACCUGGACUGUGCUUCCCUUAGUGUGAUCCUGCUGCAAGUGUCUGGUUUGAAGUUAAUAUUUAAUAUUUAUAUUGGUUCUCUGCAAUAUUUUGGUAUAUAUUAAGCUUCAAAAUACUAAACGUUUACUCCCAUGUAUGUCACCAUCUGUGCUGACAUUACUGUGAAAGCUCCACAGCUGAUCUGACUUGUACGCCUUGUGAAUUCACCUGUAUUUUCUUUGUUUCUGCAUUUUGUUUAAUUUCCAAAAGACAUUAAAGAGAUUUCAGCGCUG